Molecule: long non-coding RNA, 263 nt
Filed under: Musa acuminata (dwarf banana)
Lineage: Eukaryota; Viridiplantae; Streptophyta; Magnoliopsida; Zingiberales; Musaceae
Description: long non-coding RNA (MACU_LNC001247)
Source: RNAcentral
CUCCAUCCACCCACGUCUGAGUGAAGUCAUAGGGGCCGGCAAAGCAUCUCAGGCUCUAUGCAUAACUCCCUUCACCAUUUCUGGUGAAGGUUCACAAUAUCCCACAAACACCAGAGUACAAAAGGAUAGUAUGAACAAUGAAUAGCACAUAUCGGAAGCACACGCGGAACAACAAAACGUACAUGUGCCUUUACGAGUCAAUCCGAAGUAAGCAAUAAUCUUUCAUAAUUAUAUUCAGAUUUGAAAGGAAUUGAAAGCAAGGG